GAUUUUGUAGCUCAGUCGGUAGAGCACUUGACUUUUAAUCAAGGGGCCCUGGGUUCGAGUCCCAGCAAAAUCA
Molecule: transfer RNA, 73 nt
Filed under: Saprospiraceae bacterium
Lineage: Bacteria; Pseudomonadati; Bacteroidota; Saprospiria; Saprospirales; Saprospiraceae
Description: tRNA-Lys
Rfam family: tRNA
About the family: Transfer RNA (tRNA) molecules are approximately 80 nucleotides in length. Their secondary structure includes four short double-helical elements and three loops (D, anti-codon, and T loops). Further hydrogen bonds mediate the characteristic L-shaped molecular structure. tRNAs have two regions of fundamental functional importance: the anti-codon, which is responsible for specific mRNA codon recognition, and the 3' end, to which the tRNAs corresponding amino acid is attached (by aminoacyl-tRNA synthetases). tRNAs cope with the degeneracy of the genetic code in two manners: having more than one tRNA (with a specific anti-codon) for a particular amino acid; and 'wobble' base-pairing, i.e. permitting non-standard base-pairing at the 3rd anti-codon position.
Source: RNAcentral